UAUUCCCGGUAGCAUGCUUGUCUGAGUGUCUGUGGAU
This 37-nucleotide ribosomal RNA is filed under the name Pseudo-nitzschia pungens var. pungens. Its description in RNAcentral is "partial 5.8S ribosomal RNA". The record is from RNAcentral. Lineage: Eukaryota; Bacillariophyta; Bacillariophyceae; Bacillariales; Bacillariaceae.